AGGCCCCACAGCUAGAACCCCAAAUCGCCUAGUCCCAACCCAUGCACUCUCUAAUCGGCGCCACACGACGGGCCUUCCCCACAGCCUCAUCUGCUUGGGGACGUAAAGGGCUCUGUGGGGGAGCUGCAGCUUUCGUGCCCAUCUGUUAAAGGCCAGAACUUCCCAUCUCUGAAAUGCGGGAGGGAACAGAGCUCAAGCUUGAAUAACUGAGCGCGGCCCGGCAGUCCCCCCAAAUGAAGAUUCACCAGAGAAUAAGCCUGAUGGAAGUCUGGAGAUAACAGGACUCCCAACCAGCAGGUCCUCCUGAUUCUCAGGCCUUCAGACACAGACUGGAAUCUAAAGCAUUGGCUCUCGGGCUAUCCACCCUUCAGACUACAUGACCAGCUUUCCUGGGUCUCCAGUUUGCAAUCAACCUACCCUGGGACUUUUCAGCCUCCAUAAUUGCCUGAGCCAAUACUUUAUAAUAAAUAUAUAUCUUCUUAUUGGUGCUGUUUCUCUAGAGAACCCUGACUAACAUAGGCACCAAACAUCCAUUUUAAUAAUCCACUUGUCUUUAGAUCACAGCAAUAUCUACUCAAUAGGUACAGACUCCAUUGAUUUCUGGCCACAGGAGGGCAGAAGAGUCAAUAGGUUAUUCUUUGGCCUUCCUCUCAGGAGAGGGAGAUAUCAAAGAAAUUCAGAGUGAUCUGUAUGGCUCUAUCUGCUCUUUGGGAUCAUUUAUUUCUACAGGCUGUUCACUUUUAAGGUACCAAUAGCUGUCAAAAACCCUCCUUUGCCAUCAUAAAAUCCCAAAACUAGGGUUGAAAUAUUGGCAAAGAGAGUGUAUGUUUAAGAAAUUGUUUCUGAUAUGGAUGACCCUGCUUUUAUAUAUCCCAAGUCAUAUACAAAGAACUGAUUUUCAAGAUGUGACAACAUUUAGGUCUCACUUAUAAGUGAAGCUCUCCUUAGGACCAUACUGUAUGGAUUAACACUUUAUUAUUAGAAGGAGAAAUGGUAGCAGUGAGAAUUUCUUCAUAUUUGUAAUUUUUUCCAUUUUUAAUUUCAACCACACAUAUUAAAUGUAACUUUAAUCAGAGUUAAAACCAUGUCACAUGAUGAUCUUAAUUUACAAGUCAACAAAACUAUAAAUAUGAAGAAAUAUUUGCAAUAACAGAUUAAAAGCAAUUAAUUUCUUUGAAAGUCAAUGAAAAAAAAUUUUUUUUCUUUUUUGGAGAUGGAAUCUCACUCUGUUGCCCAGGCUGGAGUGCAGUGGUGCAAUCUCAGCUCACUGCAACCUCCACCUCCCGGGUUCAAGCGAUUCUCCUGCCUCAGCCUCCUGAGUAGCUGGGAUUACAGGCACACACCACCAUGCCUGACUAAUUUUUUGUAUUUUUAGUAGAGACGGGGUUUCACCGUGUUAGCCAGGAUGGUCUCCAUCUCCUGACCUCGUGAUCCACCCACCUCAGCCUCCUAAAGUGCUGGGAUUACAGGCAUGAGCUACCACACCCAGCCCCAAUGAACAAUUUAGAAGGUGAUUUUUAUUACCUCAAAGCUGAAAGUUAUAAGCUCUGAGUAUUACAAUUUUUUGUGGCCAUCUACUUUAAGAGAGAGAAAUGUCUACAAAAUGAUAGGAGCUUUUUUUCCUCUACCUACAGUUGUAUACUGAGCAAACCAGGAAUUUCUGAACAUUAAAACUAUGCUAUGUUGGAAAGGGAGCCAAAAAGCUCAAUAUCUACUAGAGAUGUACAAACUUUCUUUAACAGAAGUCACCUGCUUAUCAGUUUUUGAUAAAUAACCCACUGGCAGUAACAAUAGGAGAAAAACAAUGUAUUUUGCCUAAUGUUCUAUCAUGUGGACAUGGUGUCCCACUUCAACGACUUGUUUAUCUGAGUUAGACCUCUCAUUUGAAAUCAUGGGUGCCAUAUUUGAACUGUUAAUUGCUUCUUCAUAUCUUGGGACUGGAACUAUCCCAAGGACUCCUAUAAGAGUCCUAUCUUAUAGGAGACUUCUCCCUGCUUACAAAUCCUCUGAAGAGCAUAAGUAAAUGUGUCGGCCAGAAAUAAUGGAAGAAACCAUCAACAAAUGGGGGGAAAUCAGAGUCAUGGUGUCACUUUGACUUUUGCCAUUGCCUGCUGUAUUCCAGCUUCUGAUUCCACUGCAAAUGGAAGCAAAGAAAGCUCAUAUAGUAAUAACAGCAAAUAAGGCAACAGUAGUUUUACAUUGAUAAGCUAGAGAUUUUGAAAGUAAGAGGCUGGCACAUAAACUAGAUUAGUAGUUCUCAGCUAGGCUACACAUCAGAAUCAUCUGUGGGGUUUUUAUAGCUGCAGAUGCUAAAUCAGAAUCCAAGACAGGAAAGUGAAAGUGCUUAUUCCAAUGAAGACCUUUGCUGAUAGUCACCAUACUAGAUUAUCUACAAAGCUGGAAAACCUGGUCUAAUUUAACACUUUCUAAUUGAUGAAGGUGAACAGAGUGUGGUAUAAUGAACUGAGUACUGAAUCAGGGAAUAGGUCUAAUUUUACUCUGUGAACAGACUUGUUGAAUAAUUUUAGCUUAUUACAUGUAUCACAUGUUAGGCACAGUAUUAUAUGUGUAUAUCAAUAAUUCUUUCAGUUCACAAUGCUUUGUGAUACAAAGGUUUUUCUUGCUCCUUUUUUACAGAUGUGAAACCUGAAAUUAGUGAUUUGCCAAAGGAAAUGAUGAGCUAUGAUCCCAGGUCUGUCUAACCUAUACUUGUCUCCAAAGGGUAGGACAGUGUUUCCAUUCUCUCCAUAGCGAGAUUCAGCCUCUUUAAUACCUCUUUUAGCAAAAUAUUACAAUAAACUCUUCUCCAAUGAACAAUGAGCAAUGUCUCCUUGAGCAAACUUUCUUGGAUGAAUUGAGAUGAGGCAACUGAAGAAGGCAUUGAAAACUAUAAUAUUCCUUAGAAAUUAAGAUUUCUUCUCAUCUUGAAUAAUGGCUCUUACAUCAUCCUAAAGUAUAAAAUACUUUUUUUCUGAAAAUACUUGUUUCUUCAUUUUAUUACCUUACUUCAACAUUUUCCAUUAUUACAUAAUGUUUAUUUCAAAAAUUGUCUCAAAAAUUUUCCGACAUAAGCCACCACAAUUUUUCCUCAGUAGAAGUGUAAUAUAAAUAAAUUGAAAUCAAGUUUUCUCUUCAUUAUAAAAAUAUUCCCCAAAAUUGCAUGGUAACUCAAUUUUUAAUCAAAUUUGUUGUUGAAUUUUGGAAAAGCUUUUUUAAAGUCUUAAAGUUCAAUUAGUUUUUCAAAGAGCCCUAGUAUAGCACAAAAACAUCAUUACUCUUAUGAAAACUAUAUUUUUAUUUCCCUACUAAUUUGCCCUGGCAGACUCGGGGGUCAAGGACCUGGUGUUGCAAAAUUCCAGUAGUUACCAUGUCCAGAAGAUAUACUGUAAACUGUGCUUCCAGAAGUUGGGUCAUACAAUGGUACAAAUGGAAACUUUGAUUUAUUAUUUUGUUGCUUCUUGUUAACUAAUUUUAGAAGACUGAGAGAAUGGGGGUGUCCAUGCUUUAGAUCCUUCAAAGAAAGGAUUAAUGAAAAUUUGUUGUUGCUUUUUGGUAAAAAUUACUCAUUGAGCUAACAGCUAAAAAAUUGAAUUUCAAUAUUACCAUAAAUUUGAAGACAAAAUGUUUCCUUGUGGAGGAGGAGUUUGGGCAAAGUAUAAAUAAGUAAUUAAAAUUGUGCUCAACUAAAGAGUUUAUUGUGGAGGGAAAAGUGAUCUCUUGUUCAUAAGUGGAAAUUAAAUGUUUUUAUAGAGUGGUGCAGUUAUUGCGACAGUGCAAAUUAUAUUAAUAGCUAAUAGAGAAUUCAAAUAAAAUGUUUCUAAAUUA
Molecule: long non-coding RNA, 3825 nt
Organism: Gorilla gorilla gorilla (western lowland gorilla)
Lineage: Eukaryota; Metazoa; Chordata; Mammalia; Primates; Hominidae
Exons: 3
Source: RefSeq, a predicted model, not a curated record